Molecule: long non-coding RNA, 3678 nt
Filed under: Homo sapiens (human)
Lineage: Eukaryota; Metazoa; Chordata; Mammalia; Primates; Hominidae
Description: long non-coding RNA NONHSAT005589.2
Source: RNAcentral
AACUUAUUAAAAAGAGUUUUAUUUAGCACUUGGUUCUGUUGGCUGGGAAAUUCAGGAUCAGGCAGCUGUAUCUGGUGGGUUCUCAUGACUGCCUCAUGCUGCAUCAAAACAUCGUAGAGAAACAGAAGGGGACCGAGUUUGUGCAAACAAAAAGCGCAAAAUAGAAGAGGCAGCAUUGUUUUAUAACAACUCACUCUCUUGGGAACUAACCAUUCCCAGGAGAACCCAGUCUCAGUGUCAAGAGAAAGAUGUUAAUCCAUCUUAGCAACCUAAUUACCUCUUAAAAGUACCAUCUCCCAACACUAUUACAUUGGCAAUUGAACUACAACAUGAGUUUUGGAGGGGCCAAACAACAUGCAAACCAUAGCAGCAGGUUUAAAGGUAAAAGGAUGGGAGAAAAGUACACAGAAAGAUAUUCUGGAGAAAAGGCACAGAGUGAGCCAAGGCACAAGGUAAAAUGUUUGACUGGUUAGAGACGCUAGAUUAUUUUGUGUGGCUAAGACAAAACAAAGCUGGUGGGGAGUGGCAGGAGGUAAGUCUAGAAUGGCACAAUGGGGCCAGACUGCGAAUGGCAAACAAGUAUGUGAUCUUUUAUUCUAAAGAAAAUGUAGUAUGAUUAGCACACACACACACAAAAAUUAUUGGCCGGGCGCAGUGGCCCAUGCCUGUAAUCCCAGCACUUUGGGAGGCCGAGGAGGGUGGAUCAUGAGGUCAGGAGUUCAAGACGGUGAAACUCCAUCUCUACUAAAAAUACAAAAAUUAGCCAGGAGCUGUGGCAGGUGCCUGUAAUCCCAGCUACUCAGUAGGCUGAGGCAGGAGAAUCACUUGAACCCGGGAGGUGGAGGUUGCAGUGAGCUGAGAUCGCGCCACUGCACUCUAGCCUCGGCGACAGAGCAAGACUAAAAAUAAAAAUGAAAAAAUUAUUAUCCAUGGUAUUAUCAUGGUAGUACUGACUAAAAGAGGGACAUGUGUAACAAAAUCAGUAAGGAGGGUACUCCAAGAAUCCAUGUUAAAGUUAAUGAGGGCUUGAACCCAAACAUAAAGGAUGGAAAUGAUGUAAUAAAAUACCUUUUGAAAGUUAUAUUAAAAAAUUUUUGGUUAAUAGUCUAGUUAGAGGUGAAAGAAGAAAGCAGAGGAGUCUAAUGCAAUGCGUGACUUGUAGCUCAGGUAAAGGGGUGGCAGGUGACGCUUAAAUACUAGAAAUAUAAGAAGCAGCACAGGUUUGGUUUUAUCUUUGAGAACAAUGGAGUGGAGGUAUGCUUUAGAUGCAAUUAUUUAUGGGAUAUUCAAAACAGAUAUAUAUGAAGCAAAAAACUUGGGCCCAAAAAACAAGUUUGAAGGUAUAUUUGGGAGUUACCAGUAAUAUAGGUAACUGUUGAAGCUCUAAAUAUAGAAGACAAACUAGAGGAGCUUGUUUCUUGAAGAAUUCUUGUCACACUUGACAUUUUUUACAGAGAUUUCUUAAAACAGGGGCAUAUCUUCUUUGGCUAACAUAUGCAGACUAAAAUGAAAGAGUAUAGUAUAUUAUAAAAUCAAUAAAAGGUAAGAUAAAUUUAGGCCUAAAAAUAAAGAAUAAAUACACUCAGUUGAUUCUGAAGCUCUAAUUUACAGAUGCAAAAUUGUACCAGUACAUUAACUCAUAUGUCAAAACAACAUCUAGAGAAACAAAAAAUGAAAGUAAAAUGGAAAAAGAUAAAAGAAGUGAGGCAAGGAGAAGAGAAUGGACAAAAGGAGAUAGGAAAAACAGGAAUUUUUUUUUUAAGGGCUAAAAUUUUAGUGAAUCAGAUGUGGAAAACAGUUGGAUUAACAUUGAGAUCAAAUGAGAAAGGAGCAAAUAAGGAAAGAGGUAUUACAAACCAAGAGUAAAAAAGGGAAAACAAAAUAACAAAAGCAAAAACUAUUUAAAAAGAAUAAAGGAAGACGUGAUAAUGAAGUAAAUUUAAAAAGUACGGAAUAAUAAAAAGAAAUUGCAAAAAAUAACUUUUGAAAAUAAACAUACUAAUAACUUGACAAUAAAGUGAAAUGUGUAAGACAAACGUAUCUGUGUCAUUAUUUAGGAGUAGUGAAAAGUACUCUUAAAUAAUAAUUUGGUAUCUAGCAGGCCUGGAUUUGAAUCUACUUUAACUUGCUAGCUAUGUGACCUUGGGCAAGCAAAGAAACUCCUCAUAACCAUUGUAAUAAUACCAGCAAAAUGCCUUACACUUACGGCUCAAAAAAUGAAGGAAAUGAGAGAAAAAAGUAUAGAUUACUAUAUGGAAGUCAAAUUUCUAGUGACUUUUCUAAUCCAAACAUGAAUUGUUACAGUACUUGAAAUAAACUUUAUGAGAACUGAGUGACUACAUUGCUUCAGAUAGUUUUAUACUGCUAGGUCAACGCUGCCUGACAGUAAUAAGAAUAGGAUGUGAGAUUCAAUAUGCUCAUUCUAUCUCAAACUCUGUCACACAUACAAUGACUGCUAUUUACCUUCCUCCUGAGCCAUCUGGGAAAAAACCAACCAACCAACCAACCAAACAAAAGAAAAACCCACCAGGUAGGAGUCAGUUAGUUCUGCUAACUAACUAACCAAAAACCUUAAUUGUAUGGCCAUCAGCACCCUAGCCCUUUGUCAUGAAAGCUACCAAUAAGGUGGAAAUUUAAAAUAUGAGAUAUUUUAUUAUACAUGUUUUAUUAAACCCUAUAUGUGCAGAAAUGAUUGUCCAUUUUCCUUCUUAACUUGCUUUUGUAAGACUUAUUAAGUAGAAAAUAUAAAUCUAAAAUAUAUCUCUCUCCACAAAGUUAAUUCAAAUUGUAGAAUUCUUCCAAGUCACAGAUGGAGUUUUCAAGGCUCUGGGUACUUACCUUUGAGUUCCACAUCCUUUAUCUCUGGAGCUCUUAACUGAGGGAACAUGGACCAUUAGGUCAUGAACAGACUUUGUAGUCUUUGAACAGCCUGAAACAGUAUGUGAUACUUGAUGUGCAUGUACACAGGAACAUUUUUCUAGAGUAAUGGCACAUACCUUUCAUCAGAUUUUCAAAGGUUUCUCAAAAUGCUCAAGAACCAUUGUUAGAUAUUUAAAUAACCAGAGUGUACAGUGUCCAAAUAUUUCCAAAUUUUGACACUUGUAAGAUGUCUUAAUUAAAACAAGCCAUGAAGUUCAGCGUCACAAUAACCAGAAAAGCACUUGUGAGAGUAGUUCUAUGUCUUUACUUCCUAGUGGUUUACACACUCUUUAACCCAUAUGGCAAUCUGGCUUCUGUCUCCAGUGCUCUGGAAUUACUUCUGCCUGUAUGAUUAAGUUCCUCAUUGUUAAAUUCGAAAAUACAUUCUUUGGUAUUUAUUUGACCUCUUGGUGGUAAUAUAGCGUAAGAGCACAGACUCUGGAGCCAAACUGCCUAGGUUCAAAUCUUAGCUCUAUUACUUUCUAACUCUGUGACUUUGGGCAAAUGACUUAACUCUCUCAUGCCUCAAAGCAGAAUCCUUUGUAAGGUUUAUUUAUAUAGUGGUGUAAAGAGUACUUACUUCAAAAGCUUUGGUCAGUGUGAGAAAUAAGCUCCUAACAAAGAAAGUGUUAUGUAAUAGUUAUUAUCUGGUACCUCUGAUCACAACAUUUUUGAAAAUCACUUGAAAUCUGCCUAAGUUUCAUUCUGCCUUUGAUGGCUCCUUAUUUUCAUCUCCCUACUUCAGGCUUCCUCCCUAAU